CCUACGGGAGGCAGCAGUGAGGAAUAUUGGUCAAUGGACGCAAGGCUGAACCAGCCAUGCCGCGUGCAGGAAGACGGCUCUAUGAGUUGUAAACUGCUUUUGUACGAGGGUAAACGCAGAUACGUGUAUCUGUCUGAAAGUAUCGUACGAAUAAGGAUCGGCUAACUCCGUGCCAGCAGCCGCGGUAAUACGGAGGAUUCAAGCGUUAUCCGGAUUUAUUGGGUUUAAAGGGUGUGUAGGCGGUCGGAUAAGUUAGAGGUGAAAUCCCGAGGCUCAACUUCGGAAUUGCCUCUGAUACUGUUCGGCUAGAGAGUAGUUGCGGUAGGCGGAAUGUAUGGUGUAGCGGUGAAAUGCUUAGAGAUCAUACAGAACACCGAUUGCGAAGGCAGCUUACCAAGCUACUUCUGACGUUGAGGCACGAAAGCGUGGGGAGCAAACAGGAUUAGAUACCCUGGUAGUC
RNAcentral lists this ribosomal RNA (460 nucleotides) under uncultured bacterium. RNAcentral's name for it is "partial 16S ribosomal RNA". It matches the Rfam family "Bacterial small subunit ribosomal RNA", at positions 338 to 795 of the family's 1533-position model. The record is from RNAcentral.